AGUAACACGUGGAUAACCUACCUAUAAGACUGGGAUAACUUCGGGAGGCCGGAGCUAAUACCGGAUAAUAUAUUGAACCGCAUGGUUCAAUAGUGAAAGACGGUUUUGCUGUCACUUAUAGAUGGAUCCGCGCCGCAUUAGCUAGUUGGUAAGGUAACGGCUUACCAAGGCAGCGAUGCGUAGCCGACCUGAGAGGGUGAUCGGCCACACUGGAACUGAGACACGGUCCAGACUCCUACGGGAGGCAGCAGCA
This 253-nucleotide ribosomal RNA is filed under the name uncultured Staphylococcus sp. Its description in RNAcentral is "partial 16S ribosomal RNA". It matches the Rfam family "Bacterial small subunit ribosomal RNA", at positions 109 to 355 of the family's 1533-position model. The record is from RNAcentral. Lineage: Bacteria; Bacillati; Bacillota; Bacilli; Caryophanales; Staphylococcaceae.